CCCUUAGAUGUCCUGGGCCGCACGCGCGUUACACUGAUGCAUUCAACGAGCUUAUAACCUUGGCCGAGAGGCCUGGGCAAUCUUGUUAACGUGCAUCGUGAUAGGGAUAGAUUAUUGAAAUUAUUAAUCUUGAACGAGGAAUUCCUAGUAAACGCAGAUCAUCAUUCUGCGUUGAUUACGUCCCUGCCCUUUGUACACACCGCCCGUCGCACCUACCGAUUGAAUGAUCCGGUGAAGCCUCGGGAUUGUGCCCAGAGAACUUUAUUGUGAUUUGGGUGUGAGAACUUGUCUAAACCUUAUCAUUUAGAGGAAGGUGAAGUCGUAACA
This 327-nucleotide ribosomal RNA is filed under the name uncultured eukaryote. Its description in RNAcentral is "partial 18S ribosomal RNA". It matches the Rfam family "Eukaryotic small subunit ribosomal RNA", at positions 1470 to 1796 of the family's 1831-position model. The record is from RNAcentral.